AAUUUUCUGCGAGAGGGAUAGGAAGGGCGCGCAUGCGGUCGCUCUUUGCGACCGAAGCCCUGGAUAGCCCGGCCCCAU
This 78-nucleotide small RNA is filed under the name Leptospira meyeri. RNAcentral's name for it is "Flavo-1 RNA". The record is from RNAcentral. Lineage: Bacteria; Pseudomonadati; Spirochaetota; Leptospiria; Leptospirales; Leptospiraceae.